AAAUAAGGAUAAUUUGUCAAAACGGAAACGAGCUUGAGACCGCCAGACCUCCUCUCCCUCGAGACCGCCGGACCUCCUCUCCCUCGACCGCCGGACCUCCUCGUCGCUGCUCCGCCGUCUCGAACCAUAUGCUCCGUCAUCUUUUCUCAUCACCGUCGAGCUCAUCCUCAUCGUCUUUGUGUCGUCACGUUCAAUGGGCCGGUGUACACCAUCGAGCUUAUCAAUCUUCCCAGAAACGAUUGAUUCAUGUUGGUCAGGAAGAAGCUUAGAUCGAGAACAAACAAAUCGAACGAAUCAAGCGGCGAUUAUUCGGAGAUUACUCGGAGAGUAAUUACAGCCUUUUUUGUUACUUCUCACGCAUAUAUUUUAUAGAAUGUAACAGAUAUCCAAAGGAUUUGUGUUGUCAUUGUGGUUAAGUUGUUUCUGAGUAAUUUUGUGUCAUAGGUUCGAAUCUUAGGAUGGCAUUUUAAUAAUUUAUUUAUUGUUUUAAUGCAG
Molecule: long non-coding RNA, 495 nt
Filed under: Brassica rapa (field mustard)
Lineage: Eukaryota; Viridiplantae; Streptophyta; Magnoliopsida; Brassicales; Brassicaceae
Description: long non-coding RNA (BRAP_LNC000613)
Source: RNAcentral